GGGGGUAGAGCUCAGUGGUAGAGCACAUGCUUGGCAUGAGGUCCUGGGUUCAAUCCCCAGCACCUCCA
RNAcentral lists this transfer RNA (68 nucleotides) under Camelus bactrianus (Bactrian camel). It matches the Rfam family "tRNA". Rfam says of the family: Transfer RNA (tRNA) molecules are approximately 80 nucleotides in length. Their secondary structure includes four short double-helical elements and three loops (D, anti-codon, and T loops). RNAcentral also lists the same sequence under 1 other name. The record is from Rfam by way of RNAcentral. Lineage: Eukaryota; Metazoa; Chordata; Mammalia; Artiodactyla; Camelidae.